CAAUAGCGUAUAUUAAAGUUGUUGCGGUAAAAAAGCUCGUAGUUGGAUUUCUACCGAAGAUAGCCGGUCGGGUCUUCGACCUUGUAUCUGGUUUUGUCUUUGGUAUCCUCAUAGGGAACGUUUCUGCGCUUUAUUGCGUGGUGCGGUAUCUAUGACUUUUACUUUGAGGAAAUUAGCGUGUUCACGGCAGGCAAACGCCUUGAAUAUAUUAGCAUGGAAUAAUAACAUAGGAUCUUCGUCCUAUUUUGUUGGUUUCUAGGGCUAAGAUAAUGAUUAAUAGGGAUAAUUGGGGGCAUCUGUAUCAACGCGUCAGAGGUGGAAUUCUUGGAUUGCGUUGCGACAAACUACUGCGAAAGCAUUUGCCAAGGAUGUUUUCAUUGA
RNAcentral lists this ribosomal RNA (381 nucleotides) under uncultured eukaryote. RNAcentral describes it as "partial 18S ribosomal RNA". It matches the Rfam family "Eukaryotic small subunit ribosomal RNA", at positions 592 to 976 of the family's 1831-position model. The record is from RNAcentral.